Molecule: long non-coding RNA, 281 nt
Organism: Malurus melanocephalus (red-backed fairy wren)
Lineage: Eukaryota; Metazoa; Chordata; Aves; Passeriformes; Maluridae
Exons: 3
Source: RefSeq, a predicted model, not a curated record
AUUUGCAGGCUAUCUACACCUCCUCCUAUAUCUUUUUCCCUUGCAGAUCUUAAAAAACAUUCAACAAAAAGUAGACCAGAGGGCAGCACCUUGAGUCCCAUCCUGUUCUGAAGCACAGCAGUGGUAAAGACAGAGGAUUUUUAGGAACUGAGACAACCAGAGCAAGAGAAUGUGACUCCUUGCCCCGGGGGGUGGGUUGCUCAACUGGAAGUUUAUUUCAGAACAGAAGAAAGAAAGAAGAGAAUAAAGAACAAAAUGGUCUUUUCUUCUUUUUACCACAG